Molecule: ribosomal RNA, 253 nt
Filed under: uncultured bacterium
Lineage: Bacteria
Description: partial 16S ribosomal RNA
Rfam family: Bacterial small subunit ribosomal RNA
Source: RNAcentral
UACAGAGACUGCGAGCGUUAUUCGGAUUCACUGGGCGUAAAGGGUGCGCAGGCGGCCAAAUGUGUGAGGCGUGAAAGCCCGGGGCUUAACCCCGGAAUUGCACCUCAAACUAUUUGGCUAGAGCAUUGGAGAGGGAAGCGGAAUUCACGGUGUAGCAGUGAAAUGCGUAGAUAUCGUGAGGAACACCAGAGGCGAAGGCGGCUUCCUGGACAAUUGCUGACGCUCAGGCACGAAAGCGUGGGGAGCGAACAGG